This 27-nucleotide non-coding RNA is filed under the name Mus musculus (house mouse). Lineage: Eukaryota; Metazoa; Chordata; Mammalia; Rodentia; Muridae. The record is from RNAcentral.
GAGAGAGCCCAGAGGGUUUUAGCAUGC